RNAcentral lists this ribosomal RNA (756 nucleotides) under uncultured bacterium. RNAcentral's name for it is "bacterial SSU rRNA". It matches the Rfam family "Bacterial small subunit ribosomal RNA", at positions 8 to 796 of the family's 1533-position model. The record is from RNAcentral.
AGAGUUUGAUCAUGGCUCAGAAUCAACGCUGGCGGCGCGCCUAACACAUGCAAGUCGAACGAGAAAGUGGAGCAAUCCAUGAGUACAGUGGCGUACGGGUGAGUAACACGUGGGUAAUCUACCUCUUAGUGGGGAAUAACUCUGGGAAACCGGAGCUAAUACCGCAUAAGCUCGAGAGAGGAAAGCAGCAAUGCGCUGAGAGAGGAGCCCGCGGCCGAUUAGCUAGUUGGCAGGGUAAGAGCCUACCAAGGCAAAGAUCGGUAGCCGGCCUGAGAGGGCACACGGCCACACUGGCACUGAAACACGGGCCAGACUCCUACGGGAGGCAGCAGUGGGGAAUCUUGCACAAUGGGGGAAACCCUGAUGCAGCGACGCCGCGUGAGCGAUGAAGCCCUUCGGGGUGUAAAGCUCUUUCGGCAGGGAAGAUGGUGACGGUACCUGCAGAAGCAGCUGCGGCUAACUACGUGCCAGCAGCCGCGGUAAUACGUAGGCAGCGAGCGUUGUUCGGAGUUACUGGGCGUAAAGGGUGUGUAGGCGGUUGUUUAAGUUUGGUGUGAAAUCUCCCGGCUCAACUGGGAGGGUGCGCCGAAUACUGAGCGACUAGAGUGCGGGAGAGGAAAGUGGAAUUCCUGGUGUAGCGGUGAAAUGCGUAGAUAUCAGGAGGAACACCGGUGGUGUAGACGGCUUUCUGGACCGUAACUGACGCUGAAACACGAAAGCGUGGGUAGCAAACAGGAUUAGAUACCCUAGUAGUCC